RNAcentral lists this ribosomal RNA (1263 nucleotides) under Vreelandella aquamarina. RNAcentral's name for it is "partial 16S ribosomal RNA". It matches the Rfam family "Bacterial small subunit ribosomal RNA", at positions 276 to 1533 of the family's 1533-position model. The record is from RNAcentral. Lineage: Bacteria; Pseudomonadati; Pseudomonadota; Gammaproteobacteria; Oceanospirillales; Halomonadaceae.
ACGAUCCGUAGCUGGUCUGAGAGGAUGAUCAGCCACAUCGGGACUGAGACACGGCCCGAACUCCUACGGGAGGCAGCAGUGGGGAAUAUUGGACAAUGGGGGAAACCCUGAUCCAGCCAUGCCGCGUGUGUGAAGAAGGCCCUCGGGUUGUAAAGCACUUUCAGCGAGGAAGAACGCCUAGCGGUUAAUACCCGCUAGGAAAGACAUCACUCGCAGAAGAAGCACCGGCUAACUCCGUGCCAGCAGCCGCGGUAAUACGGAGGGUGCAAGCGUUAAUCGGAAUUACUGGGCGUAAAGCGCGCGUAGGUGGCUUGAUAAGCCGGUUGUGAAAGCCCCGGGCUCAACCUGGGAACGGCAUCCGGAACUGUCAAGCUAGAGUGCAGGAGAGGAAGGUAGAAUUCCCGGUGUAGCGGUGAAAUGCGUAGAGAUCGGGAGGAAUACCAGUGGCGAAGGCGGCCUUCUGGACUGACACUGACACUGAGGUGCGAAAGCGUGGGUAGCAAACAGGAUUAGAUACCCUGGUAGUCCACGCCGUAAACGAUGUCGACCAGCCGUUGGGUGCCUAGCGCACUUUGUGGCGAAGUUAACGCGAUAAGUCGACCGCCUGGGGAGUACGGCCGCAAGGUUAAAACUCAAAUGAAUUGACGGGGGCCCGCACAAGCGGUGGAGCAUGUGGUUUAAUUCGAUGCAACGCGAAGAACCUUACCUACUCUUGACAUCCUGCGAAUUUGGUAGAGAUACCUUAGUGCCUUCGGGAACGCAGAGACAGGUGCUGCAUGGCUGUCGUCAGCUCGUGUUGUGAAAUGUUGGGUUAAGUCCCGUAACGAGCGCAACCCUUGUCCUUAUUUGCCAGCGCGUAAUGGCGGGAACUCUAAGGAGACUGCCGGUGACAAACCGGAGGAAGGUGGGGACGACGUCAAGUCAUCAUGGCCCUUACGAGUAGGGCUACACACGUGCUACAAUGGUCGGUACAAAGGGUUGCCAACUCGCGAGAGUGAGCCAAUCCCGAAAAGCCGAUCUCAGUCCGGAUCGGAGUCUGCAACUCGACUCCGUGAAGUCGGAAUCGCUAGUAAUCGUGGAUCAGAAUGCCACGGUGAAUACGUUCCCGGGCCUUGUACACACCGCCCGUCACACCAUGGGAGUGGACUGCACCAGAAGUGGUUAGCCUAACGCAAGAGGGCGAUCACCACGGUGUGGUUCAUGACUGGGGUGAAGUCGUAACAAGGUAGCCGUAGGGGAACCUGCGGCUGGAUCACCUCCUUA